GGUUACUGCUAUCGGUGUUCGCCUAAGCCAUGCGAGUCAUAUGUUCGUAAGAACAUGGCGUACUGCUCAGUAACACGUGGAUAACCUGCCCUUGGGUCCGGCAUAACCCCGGGAAACUGGGGAUAAUUCCGGAUAACGCACAUAUGCUGGAAUGCUUUAUGCGUAAAAUGGAUUCGUCUGCCCAAGGAUGGGUCUGCGGCCUAUCAGGUAGUAGUGGGUGUAAUGUACCUACUAGCCUACGACGGGUACGGGUUGUGAGAGCAAGAGCCCGGAGAUGGAUUCUGAGACAUGAAUCCAGGCCCUACAGGGCGCAGCAGGCGCGAAAACUUUACAAUGCGGGAAACCGUGAUAAGGGGACACCGAGUGCCAGCAUCCUAUGCUGGCUGUCCGGGUGUGUAAAAUACACCUGUUAGCAAGGGCCGGGCAAGACCGGUGCCAGCCGCCGCGGUAACACCGGCGGCCCGAGUGGUGAUCGUGAUUAUUGGGUCUAAAGGGUCCGUAGCCGGUUUGGUCAGUCCUCCGGGAAAUCUGACAGCUUAACUGUUAGGCUUUCGAAGGAUACUGCCAGACUUGGAACCGGGAGAGGUAAGAGGUACUACAGGGGUAGGAGUGAAAUCUUGUAAUCCCUGUGGGACCACCUGUGGCGAAGGCGUCUUACCAGAACGGGUUCGACGGUGAGGGACGAAA
RNAcentral lists this ribosomal RNA (687 nucleotides) under uncultured archaeon. RNAcentral's name for it is "bacterial SSU rRNA". It matches the Rfam family "Archaeal small subunit ribosomal RNA", at positions 21 to 709 of the family's 1478-position model. The record is from RNAcentral.